GUCAUCCACCAUGUCUGCACCUCUAAAUUCAAUCUUUUCUUCCAUCUCAUGUAACCACCGCCUCUUCUGUGCUCGCCGCGGAUCCCAAAAUACAGUUCUCAGCACUCAUCAUGAUUCCGCGUUUUCGAGCUUUAAUCAUGGAUACGUCUUAUUAGCUGAGAAGCAAAGCUUGCAGUUGUCCAGAGCUAGUUGGACAGUCAACACCAGACGCAUUACAAAGAUGGAGAUGAUGAUGAUGAUGCGAGCCUCCAACAAUGAUCAACCACAAUCUCCAGUACUACUCCCACCUAAACCUCCUUUUCCUGCUUGGGUAUGUUCGAUUUUGCGAUCCACAUUAUCCAUACUUGUACCGGCUUGGAAGGACAAAUGGGAAUAACUAAUCAGAAUAGAAGGUGAGUUCAAAGCGGCCGUGGAUGCAGUAGGGAAAGUUGCACAAGACGCAGAAGAGAUUAUAGAGUCGGUGGAGGGUGAGCUUCCUGAAGGUGGACCGCUGAAGAAAGUAGUAUCAGCUGUUGGAAAUGCAACUAAAGAAAUAGUCAAGGACACCCAGAUCACAAAUGACCUCAUCAACAAGGUAGAAAAAGUGGAGAAGGAUGUAAAAGAUAUUAUCCAGCCAGUGGUGGAUGAACUAAAGGACCUGGACAAUAAUGAGCCAGGAGGCAUUAAUGAGGAACAGCAAACAGGGUGAAACAAAAGGAUCUGUAUUUAAGGUUUUUUUUUUUUUCAGGAAAGCACUGAGUGGCUAAUCCUAUGCACGAAUCAAAUACGUUUCUCCUGGAAAGUAGAAAGAAAUAAAUAAGGGAUGAAGAAAAGGACUUCCUUGAAUUUAUCAUUUACCUCAAAAAAUAAUGUAUUUAGGGUCAGUAGGAAUACGAGUACAAAU
Molecule: long non-coding RNA, 883 nt
Organism: Nelumbo nucifera (sacred lotus)
Lineage: Eukaryota; Viridiplantae; Streptophyta; Magnoliopsida; Proteales; Nelumbonaceae
Source: RefSeq, a predicted model, not a curated record